UGGGGAAUAUUGGACAAUGGGCGCAAGCCUGAUCCAGCCAUGCCGCGUGUGAAGAAGGCCUUUUGGUUGUAAAGCACUUUAAGCGAGGAGGAGGCUACCCUGACCAAUACUCAGGAGUAGUGGACGUUACUCGCAGAAUAAGCACCGGCUAACUCUGUGCCAGCAGCCGCGGUAAUACAGAGGGUGCGAGCGUUAAUCGGAAUUACUGGGCGUAAAGCGCGCGUAGGCGGUUUGUUAAGUCGGAUGUGAAAUCCCCGGGCUCAACCUGGGAAUUGCAUUCGAUACUGGCAAGCUAGAGUAUGGGAGAGGAAGGUAGAAUUCCAGGUGUAGCGGUGAAAUGCGUAGAGAUCUGGAGGAAUACCGAUGGCGAAGGCAGCCUUCUGGCCUAAUACUGACGCUGAGGUGCGAAAGCAUGGGGAGCAAACA
Molecule: ribosomal RNA, 426 nt
Filed under: uncultured prokaryote
Description: bacterial SSU rRNA
Rfam family: Bacterial small subunit ribosomal RNA
Source: RNAcentral